This 395-nucleotide unclassified non-coding RNA is filed under the name soil metagenome. RNAcentral's name for it is "partial contains 5.8S ribosomal RNA, internal transcribed spacer 2, and large subunit ribosomal RNA". The stretch from base 1 to 120 matches the Rfam family "5.8S ribosomal RNA", at positions 35 to 154 of the family's 154-position model. The record is from RNAcentral.
GAUGAAGAACGUAGUGAAAUGCGAUAAGUAAUGUGAAUUGCAGAAUUCAGUGAAUCAUCGAAUCUUUGAACGCACCUUGCGCCUUUUGGUAUUCCGAAAGGCACACCUGUUUGAGCGUCAUGAAUACCUCAAUCUCCAUCUUUUCUUCGGAUUGAUGGGUGACUUGGAUGUUUAGCCCUGCUGGUAUGCUAUAUCAGCUGGCUUUAAACUUAUUAGCCGGCUCUGUACUGGAUCGGUUUGACUCGACGUGAUAAUAUUAUCGUUGAGGAUGCAUGUCUCAUGCAGCCGGAAAGUAUCAAAGCAGCUUCUAGCUUGCCUUUAGUGCACUUUUACAUUUUAGACCUCAGAUCAGGUGGGACUACCCGCUGAACUUAAGCAUAUCAAUAAGCGGAGGA